This 861-nucleotide ribosomal RNA is filed under the name Triticum aestivum (bread wheat). RNAcentral describes it as "partial small subunit ribosomal RNA". Lineage: Eukaryota; Viridiplantae; Streptophyta; Magnoliopsida; Poales; Poaceae. The record is from RNAcentral.
AUGUCGGCUGUUGACUCGUGGCACUUUUGUGCCAAACUUGCCCGCCAAUUCAUGAAAGGGUGGGGUGCAAACCUUGGCCGGGAUCUCCGAGAAUGGAAAAAGGCCCUUCUGCUGGCGAUUCAAGCUCUGGACGCCCGUGCCGACACAUCUGGAAUCUCUCCAGAUGAGUGGAUGUUGCAAUAUGACCUUGAAGACCAGCUGUCAACCAUCUACACUGAUGAAGAGGCCUACUGGCGAAUACGGGGUACCCAGCGGUGGGUACUUCGGGGAGAUGCCAACACUGCAUAUUUCCAGGCAGUGGCGAACGGCCGCCGACGCCGCAACUCCAUCCACUGCCUCUGGGAUGGAGAGACCCCUCUCGUCCACCCCGUGGCCAUCCGCUCCCAUGUGGAUGGCUUCUACAAGGCCCUAUUUACCCCCACCCCUCGGGGUGGGGCUAGUCUCACCCCCGACAUUUGGUCGGGUGCGCAAUUGGUCUCUGAUGCGGCCAAAGCCGCUUUAGUGGCCCCCUUCGCCGAGGAUGAGGUUCUCCAGGCUAUUAAAGGGAUGAACCCCGCCUCGGCCCCGGGGCCGGACGGCCUGCCAGUAACGUUUUUUAAGACGUUCUGGCAGACCAUCAAGCCAGAGGUCAUGGCUCUGUUUGAGGAAUUCUUCUCGGGUUCCAUGGAUCUUGGGCGCCUUAACUAUGGCAUCGUGGCCCUCAUCCCCAAGGUCUCGUGUGCCUCCGACAUCCGCCAAUUUCGGCCAAUCACUGUGAUCAAUGUGAUUUUCCGGAUCUUGGCUAAAGGGUACGCCAAUAGGGUGACCCUGCUCGCGGAUGCCAUUACCCACCCGAAUCAAUCCGCAUUCAUUCAAGGCUGA